GUGCUCCCUUUGGUAGCACAUAUGCUAAAAUUGGAAUGAUACAGAGAAAAUUAGCAUGGCCUCUGAGCAAGAAUGCACACAAAUUCAUGAAGCAUUCCAUAUAUAA
This is a small nuclear RNA of Chlorocebus sabaeus (green monkey), 106 nucleotides long. The record is from RefSeq and is a predicted model, not a curated record. Lineage: Eukaryota; Metazoa; Chordata; Mammalia; Primates; Cercopithecidae.